UUUUCGUAAUGCGGGCCUAUUUUACGUGACUGCGCUGCUUUUUUUUCAUGAAGAUUUCGGUGCAAAGAGCAUCAAUGCUGAACUGGACCACCUCCUCUCUCCUGCUGGUUCUGAUUCUGUGUUCUGCUGCUCUGGGAUGAAGAUGAUCUCCAGGAUCCUGCUGCUCCUCAUCCUCAGCUCAUGUCUCUGUGGUCAGUCUCCAUCUUGUCUUUGUGACAGAAAGCUCUCUAGAUGGAGCUGAAAGACUCCCAUGUUCCAGUUCUCAGUGUGUCUGCUCCUCUCUUUCCCUCUCUGUCUCCUCAGCAGCAACAUUUGUAGUGAAUGUGACACAGAGCAGCUAUCAGGCAGAGGAGAACCACAGCAUCACUCUGGAGUGGACCUUCACCACCAAGACUCAGGGAAC
Molecule: long non-coding RNA, 403 nt
Organism: Xiphophorus maculatus (southern platyfish)
Lineage: Eukaryota; Metazoa; Chordata; Actinopteri; Cyprinodontiformes; Poeciliidae
Exons: 3
Source: RefSeq, a predicted model, not a curated record